Rhea pennata is the source of this 1314-nucleotide long non-coding RNA. RefSeq lists it as uncharacterized. Lineage: Eukaryota; Metazoa; Chordata; Aves; Rheiformes; Rheidae. The record is from RefSeq and is a predicted model, not a curated record. The transcript has 2 exons.
GGUCGGCGGGAGCCGUUAGUCGCGUGACGUGGUCGCGCCGUGUGGGCGAGGGGUGCUGGCGCCAUUUUCGCGCUGAGUUUUGGGGCGUCGCUUUGCCCACCCGAGGUGCGGGGAGCGCUGCCGUGUGGGCUGCCCCGGCGUUUUGGGGACAGGGUGCCGGGAGAGUGUUGUGGAGCGCUUGGGGAUGCCUCGGGCCAGUGAGAGGUCUGGAAGGACCCGGAGAGCUGAAUUUGGGGCAGGUGUAGAGGUGGGGGGCAGCCAAGGCGAAGUAGGAGCGCAGGAGCUCCUGGAAGGAGAUCGCAGGUGGUGGCAGGGACUGUCAGGAUGGGGCACAGGGAAGGACGACUGCAGUGAGCGGCUGUGGGUGCUGACAUGCUGACCGUGGUUUUAUGCUGGCUUGUGCUGCACGUUGAAGGGCAGCUAUGGCUGGGCGCAGUGACCAGGCUGUUCUCCAGAGCAGAAGGAAAGAUUCCUGGGAUGAUCCUACUCAAGUAAAAUUAACAAUAUCAGUUGAAUAAACACAAGAUCUUCAGAAGAACUGUUCACUAUAAUCAAUUUGCAAGUGUCUGGAUCCUGUUUUUAUAAUAACUUUUUAUUGGAGUCUGAUGGUUGCCUGUUUGACCUCUGGUAGAAGCCAUAUAAGUGGAGAGUACAUUUUCAAAUACUCAUCAACUCUGAAGUAAAAUGAGAGGACUCCUGUACUGGCUGUACAGACAGAAACAGACAGUGUGAAAGUAGAGAAACAGGGAACCUGAAGGUAAGGACAAUGGCAAGGUCUGGUUUGUGAGGGAAUGAUGACGAAUGAUCUGCUUUUUCCAUCCUCACAAGGUAUACUCAUUUGUGGAAGGAGAAGAAGAUGGUUCUACUGUCUAAUGAAGCAAAUAUCUAUGAAGGACAAAGAGAGGCAGAGGGAAAGCCCAAGAGCUUGGUUUGGAUAGCUGGAUCUCCUGGGCUGGGUUAUGUUAUUACACAUUGCUGCUCUGGCUAUGCAUCAUGUAGGUCCAGUUCAGUGCAGCUCCACAAAACUGAUCAGCUUUUUGCAGCAAGACCAAAGCAUGUUGUGGCAUGGCUGGGUUGCUGUUACAACGUGGUCGUUAGAGGGUAGGAAGCUGUGUUUGCUGCUGGGAAGUAAGUAUGAUUUCAUUCUGUUCACUUGGCUGAGGGCUUGAAUCUUAGUGUGUAGCAUAUAGAAAUGGUGAGAUGGCUAACAUCUUGGAAGGCUGUUGUGAAGCAUAUCUGGAUGAUAUUUUUAUGUCAAGAUAAGUUUGCUCUAUCUUUCCAGUGUAAACUGUUAAUAAAUACUUUGAUAUUUGA